AUUGAACGCUGGCGGCAUGCCUUACACAUGCAAGUCGAACGGCAGCAUAGGAGCUUGCUCCUGCUGGCGAGUGGCGAACGGGUGAGUAAUAUAUCGGAACGUGCCCUAGAGUGGGGGAUAACUAGUCGAAAGAUUAGCGACUACCGCAUACGAUCUACGGAUGAAAGUGGGGGAUCGCAAGACCUCAUGCUCCUGGAGCGGCCGAUAUCUGAUUAGCUAGUUGGUGAGGUAAAAGCUCACCAAGGCGACGAUCAGUAGCUGGUCUGAGAGGACGACCAGCCACACUGGGACUGAGACACGGCCCAGACUCCUACGGGAGGCAGCAGUGGGGAAUUUUGGACAAUGGGGGCAACCCUGAUCCAGCAAUGCCGCGUGAGUGAAGAAGGCCUUCGGGUUGUAAAGCUCUUUUGUCAGGGAAGAAACGGUUGAGGCUAAUAUCCUCGACUAAUGACGGUACCUGAAGAAUAAGCACCGGCUAACUACGUGCCAGCCGCCGCCGUAA
Molecule: ribosomal RNA, 502 nt
Filed under: uncultured bacterium
Lineage: Bacteria
Description: partial 16S ribosomal RNA
Rfam family: Bacterial small subunit ribosomal RNA
Source: RNAcentral